Long non-coding RNA from Etheostoma spectabile (orangethroat darter), 315 nucleotides. RefSeq lists it as uncharacterized. The record is from RefSeq and is a predicted model, not a curated record. NCBI's taxonomy places the organism in Eukaryota, Metazoa, Chordata, Actinopteri, Perciformes, Percidae. The transcript has 3 exons.
CAUACAGGGAACCUGCGUCCCCUUCCCCUCCUGUUGGACUCCGUGGUGGCUCUCGCGGUUUCGCUUUCUACCACCAGUCACAGACCUGGCUUCGAUGCGAGACCUUCGCAAUCGCUGCGGAGGGAAUCUGGCCUCCUCCACUCAGCACAGAAUACAUUCCCAAAGACUUUCAUUACCAAAGUGCCGGUACCCACAAAACCUCCUGGAUCGGAGGCCCUGCUUCUGAAUGAGGGUACGUGGUUCGUGGUCUGAUGGAUCCAGAUUUCAACUACAGAACUGGAUCGGGGGAGCCUAACACUCCGGUGGGGGGAGGCA